CAAGUCGAACGGGACUCUUCGGAGUCUAGUGGCGGACGGGUGAGUAACGCGUGAGAAUCUGCCUAGAGGAUGGGGACAACCACGGGAAACGGUGGCUAAUACCCAAUGAGCGGAGACGUUAAAGAUUUAUCGCCUCUAGAGGAGCUCGCGUCUGAUUAGCUAGUUGGUGGGGUAAAAGCCUACCAAGGCGACGAUCAGUAGCUGGUCUGAGAGGACAACCAGCCACACUGGGACUGAGACACGGCCCAGACUCCUACGGGAGGCAGCAGUGGGGAAUUUUCCGCAAUGGGCGAAAGCCUGACGGAGCAAUACCGCGUGAGGGAGGAAGGCUCUUGGGUCGUAAACCUCUUUUCUCAGGGAAGAAGAAAGUGACGGUACCUGAGGAAUCAGCCUCGGCUAACUCCGUGCCAGCAGCCGCGGUAAUACGGAGGAGGCAAGCGUUAUCCGGAAUUAUUGGGCGUAAAGCGUCCGUAGGUGGCUCUUCAAGUCUGCUGUUAAAGAGUGGGGCUUAACCCUGCCAAGGCAGUGGAAACUGAAAGGCUAGAGAGCCGUAGGGGUAGAGGGAAUUCCCGGUGUAGCGGUGAAAUGCGUAGAGAUCGGGAAGAACAUCGGUGGCGAAAGCGCUCUACUGGACGGUAUCUGACACUGAGGGACGAAAGCUAGGGGAGCGAAUGGGAUUAGAUACCCCAGUAGUCCUAGCCGUAAACGAUGGAUACUAGGCGUGGCUUGUAUCGACCCGAGCCGUGCCGGAGCUAACGCGUUAAGUAUCCCGCCUGGGGAGUACGCACGCAAGUGUGAAACUCAAAGGAAUUGACGGGGGCCCGCACAAGCGGUGGA
RNAcentral lists this ribosomal RNA (837 nucleotides) under uncultured Family 3.1 bacterium. RNAcentral's name for it is "bacterial SSU rRNA". It matches the Rfam family "Bacterial small subunit ribosomal RNA", at positions 58 to 936 of the family's 1533-position model. The record is from RNAcentral.